AUAUGUUUAUAUAACUGUCUGAACCUCUGAAAUAUAUCUUGUUAUGGUAUUUAUGUCUCAUAGAUAAUAUAUGAUACUGCCAUCCAGUGGAUAGGGGAGGUAAAGCCAAGCUGAAAGCAAUGCAGCCUGUUUACCAGGAGAGUGCCAAGAACCCCAAAAAGGGGUUACAUUAGUCUACUACUAAACAUUUCUUAAGUUUGCUUUUAAGGGUCAGGGAUAUCAGUAUAAGCCCUGCUGAAGAAUCCUGCAUUGCUGGUCACCUGUAUAAGGGAUGUUUUGCCCGCUGGGACCAGCAUGGGAGGAGGCUGGUUGCUGGUUUGUGGGAUCUCAUCGUGGGAGGCAGGUGUGCUGGUGGACGAGAAUAAGACAAGUGCCCUACUCACACUCAACCCCACGAAACCAUGCUGGUGAACCAGCUUCAAGAGCUUCAUAUUGUGUGAAAACAGCAUAGAUAUGUUGGUCCACCAGCUAGACCAGCAUUACACCAGCACAAACCAGGAGGGUCCUUGUUCUUAGACGUGUCACUCGGUUGGGGCUUUAGGGUCAAAUGGGAAAAGAGCAAGCUUUCCCCAGUGCUAAGCUUUUCUGUUCUCAGGAUGGAGUUGGACUCAGUCGCCAUGCAGCACAUCAGAAGAGCACACAAUCAGUGCUAAGUCACUCAGGGGAAGAACAGCGCUCCCACUGAAACAAUUUCAGGGCAUACUGCAUCCUCUGCAGUAGUAACAUUAGGCUGAUGCAUAUGAGACUGCUUCAGCACUGGCUUCAGACUGAGAUGGUCAUGGCGCUGUGGCAUGCAUCACAUCUGUCACCAUAUGUUCAGCCCUCUGAAAGACCUUGCAUUUAUACAGGCAGAGAACACUUUGAGCAAGAAUCCAAGCAUGUUGUUGUCACAAGAGGCAUGUCCAAGACAAGGCAGGGUGUCAUAUGCAAAGGGGCACACAGGCCUGGGCUCCUGGACCGGACUUCAGCUGUGCUGGCGUACCAAUUGCCUUAAAUUGCUACAGUAUUGCUGGCCCUGCUGAGGUUUUCAUUGAUCCAGGGCAAGUACGAAGAAGUUGGAGGGACAGCUGUCCCCCUGGACCUUGAAGAAUAAAGUUGCUAUCAUUACCCGCAUACCCUGAAAGUGACCUCUGCUGAAUUUAUCUGCUUACUUACCCUUAAACAUACCCGGAUAUAUCACACAACCUGCUUUCUGGAAUAUACCCCCCCCCCCAGAUCACAACC
Molecule: long non-coding RNA, 1224 nt
Organism: Cyprinus carpio carpio
Lineage: Eukaryota; Metazoa; Chordata; Actinopteri; Cypriniformes; Cyprinidae
Source: Ensembl